GGGAGUCCCAAAGAGUAUUGCCAGUGAUAGAGAUGGCCGGUUUGUGGGCUCAUUCUGGUCAGAACUCUUUCGUCUCUUAGGUUCGAGAUUGGAUGUCUCCACUAGCUUUCAUCCUCAAACGGAUGGCCAGACUGAAAGAUUUAAUGGGUUGCUGGAAGAAUACUUACGACACUUUGUGAAUGCCAGUCAAAAGAAUUGGGCCUCUUUACUUGAUGUAGCACAAUUCUGUUUCAAUUCCUUGAAGAGCUCUGCUACUAACAAAAGUCCUUUUGAGAUUGUUACAGGACAACAACCAUUGGCACCUCACACAUUAGAUGGUCCUUACAUAGGCCGAAAUCCCAAGGCUUAUCAAUUCACACAGGAGUGAAAACGAAAUGCAGAAAUUGCAAGGGCUCAGUUGGAGAAAACAUCCAAACACAUAAAGAAA
Molecule: unclassified non-coding RNA, 427 nt
Filed under: Hevea brasiliensis (rubber tree)
Lineage: Eukaryota; Viridiplantae; Streptophyta; Magnoliopsida; Malpighiales; Euphorbiaceae
Source: RNAcentral